CCAAUAGCGUAUAUUAAAGUUGCUGCAGUUAAAAAGCUCGUAGUUGAAUUUCGGGAUCAAUAUGUCGGUCGUGCCUCGGUACGUACUGGCUUAUUGGUUUCUCCUUUCUGAAGAACCAUGAUGUCAUUUAUUUGGUGUCGUGGGAAAUCAGGACUGUUACUUUGAAAAAAUUAGAGUGUUUAAAGCAGGCUCACGCUUGAAUACAUUAGCAUGGAAUAAU
RNAcentral lists this ribosomal RNA (220 nucleotides) under uncultured Glomus. RNAcentral describes it as "partial small subunit ribosomal RNA". It matches the Rfam family "Eukaryotic small subunit ribosomal RNA", at positions 591 to 818 of the family's 1831-position model. Lineage: Eukaryota; Fungi; Glomeromycota; Glomeromycetes; Glomerales; Glomeraceae. The record is from RNAcentral.